This 95-nucleotide non-coding RNA is filed under the name Pseudomonas sp. 2848. The record is from RNAcentral. Lineage: Bacteria; Pseudomonadati; Pseudomonadota; Gammaproteobacteria; Pseudomonadales; Pseudomonadaceae.
CUUUAUGGUCGCUACGUGCGGGUGACCUUUGGGUCAGCCGGGUUUUCGCCUGGUAAUACCCCGGUCUUGCAGACCUGCACGUAGCUGCCGCCCUU